RNAcentral lists this ribosomal RNA (468 nucleotides) under uncultured bacterium. RNAcentral's name for it is "partial 16S ribosomal RNA". It matches the Rfam family "Bacterial small subunit ribosomal RNA", at positions 28 to 507 of the family's 1533-position model. The record is from RNAcentral.
GACGAACGCUGGCAGCGUGCUUAACACAUGCAAGUCGAACGGAAAGGCCCUGCUUUUGUGGGGUGCUCGAGUGGCGAACGGGUGAGUAACACGUGAGUAACCUGCCCUUGACUUUGGGAUAACUUCAGGAAACUGGGGCUAAUACCGGAUAGGAGCUCCUGCUGCAUGGUGGGGGUUGGAAAGUUUCGGCGGUUGGGGAUGGACUCGCGGCUUAUCAGCUUGUUGGUGGGGUAGUGGCUUACCAAGGCUUUGACGGGUAGCCGGCCUGAGAGGGUGACCGGCCACAUUGGGACUGAGAUACGGCCCAGACUCCUACGGGAGGCAGCAGUGGGGAAUAUUGCACAAUGGGCGGAAGCCUGAUGCAGCAACGCCGCGUGCGGGAUGACGGCCUUCGGGUUGUAAACCGCUUUCGCCUGUGACGAAGCAUGAGUGACGGUAAUGGGUAAAGAAGCACCGGCUAACUACGUG